UGUCCAGGGGCGGGAAUCGAACCCACAACGUUCCACUUCCACUUACCAGGCAGAUGCCAUGUCCACUUGGCUGGGUUCGAUUCCCGCCCUGGAC
Non-coding RNA from Cordylochernes scorpioides, 94 nucleotides. The record is from the annotation of a GenBank genome assembly. NCBI's taxonomy places the organism in Eukaryota, Metazoa, Arthropoda, Arachnida, Pseudoscorpiones, Chernetidae.